Juglans regia (Persian walnut) is the source of this 93-nucleotide small nucleolar RNA. Lineage: Eukaryota; Viridiplantae; Streptophyta; Magnoliopsida; Fagales; Juglandaceae. The record is from RefSeq and is a predicted model, not a curated record.
AAUCGGCAGUGAUGAUGAAAUUUCAGCUUUAAAUGCCAGUUCUGCUUCUGAAGAUUCUUGAUUGAUAGAGCUGUUAUGUGAUCUGAGCCCAUC